This 85-nucleotide transfer RNA is filed under the name Bacilli bacterium. RNAcentral describes it as "tRNA-Leu". It matches the Rfam family "tRNA". Rfam says of the family: Transfer RNA (tRNA) molecules are approximately 80 nucleotides in length. Their secondary structure includes four short double-helical elements and three loops (D, anti-codon, and T loops). The record is from RNAcentral. Lineage: Bacteria; Bacillati; Bacillota; Bacilli.
GCAGGUGUGGCGAAAUUGGCAGACGCGCUAGACUUAGGAUCUAGUCCCUUACGGGGUGGGGGUUCAAGUCCCUUCACCUGCACCA